RNAcentral lists this ribosomal RNA (460 nucleotides) under uncultured bacterium. Its description in RNAcentral is "partial 16S ribosomal RNA". It matches the Rfam family "Bacterial small subunit ribosomal RNA", at positions 338 to 795 of the family's 1533-position model. The record is from RNAcentral.
CCUACGGGAGGCAGCAGUGAGGAAUAUUGGUCAAUGGACGAGAGUCUGAACCAGCCAAGUAGCGUGAAGGAUGACUGCCCUAUGGGUUGUAAACUUCUUUUAUAAAGGAAUAAAACGAGGCACGUGUGCCUGUUUGCAUGGACUUUAUGAAUAAGGAUCGGCUAACUCCGUGCCAGAAGCCGCGGUAAUACGGAGGAACCGAGCGUUAACCGGAUUUAUUGGGUUUAAAGGGAGCGUAGAUGGGUUGUUAAGUCAGUUGUGAAAGUUUGCGGCUUAACCGUCAAACUGCAAUUGAUACUGGCAGUCUUGAGUACAGUUGAGGUAGGCGGAAUUCGUGGUGUAGCGGUGAAAUGCUUAGAUAUCACGAAGAACCCCGAUUGCGAAGGCAGCUUACUAAACUGUGACUGACAUUGAUGCUCGAAAGUGUGGGUAUCAAACAGGAUUAGAUACCCUUGUAGUC